This 331-nucleotide long non-coding RNA is filed under the name Helianthus annuus (common sunflower). RNAcentral describes it as "hypothetical non coding rna". The record is from RNAcentral. Lineage: Eukaryota; Viridiplantae; Streptophyta; Magnoliopsida; Asterales; Asteraceae.
UGUGCCGAAUUCUUUGAUAAUGGUAGCCUAUCAUCUGACCUAAUAAUCCUAGCCAUCUCAUUAUCGAUUUUUUUUCUUGCCGCACAAGCUUUUGCCACCGCUGUUGCGCUACUUGACGCGGCUCCUUGGUUGUCACCAUCAAUUCAACCCGCGAAAACUGCCGCCGCCUUGAUUCGUUUCUGUUUGAUGGACAUAAAACUAAAAUAUUUUUUCUCCGUUUCGCAAAUAAGGUCGCCUACUCGUGGAAGGCAAAUUGUUUUGCUUUGCUUACUUAUAAGGUAAUCUGGGAUUUCAGUGAGCGUUAGGAAGUUGAUGACCAAGAUUUUUUAUU